AAAUUGAAGAGUUUGAUCAUGGCUCAGAUUGAACGCUGGCGGCAGGCCUAACACAUGCAAGUCGAACGGUAACAGGAAAGAGCUUGCUGUUUCGCUGACGAGUGGCGGACGGGUGAGUAAUGUCUGGGAAACUGCCUGAUGGAGGGGGAUAACUACUGGAAACGGUAGCUAAUACCGCAUAACGUCGCAAGACCAAAGAGGGGGACC
This 207-nucleotide ribosomal RNA is filed under the name Escherichia coli. RNAcentral describes it as "partial 16S ribosomal RNA". It matches the Rfam family "Bacterial small subunit ribosomal RNA", at positions 1 to 215 of the family's 1533-position model. The record is from RNAcentral. Lineage: Bacteria; Pseudomonadati; Pseudomonadota; Gammaproteobacteria; Enterobacterales; Enterobacteriaceae.